CCGAGUUCUCGAGCUCCGGCUCGACUCUCCCACCCUUUGUGAACGUACCUCUGUUGCUUUGGCGGCUCCGGCCGCCAGAGGACCCUCAAACUCCAGUCAGUAAACGCAGACGUCUGAAAACAAGUUAAUAAACUA
This 135-nucleotide unclassified non-coding RNA is filed under the name uncultured Lasiodiplodia. Its description in RNAcentral is "sequence contains ITS1". Lineage: Eukaryota; Fungi; Ascomycota; Dothideomycetes; Botryosphaeriales; Botryosphaeriaceae. The record is from RNAcentral.